Homarus americanus (American lobster) is the source of this 323-nucleotide long non-coding RNA. RefSeq lists it as uncharacterized. The record is from RefSeq and is a predicted model, not a curated record. NCBI's taxonomy places the organism in Eukaryota, Metazoa, Arthropoda, Malacostraca, Decapoda, Nephropidae. The transcript has 3 exons.
UACAGAAUCAAGACGUUGUUUACAUCUGAGGAUCAUGGGUCGAGUAGUUGGUGUGAUGGCCGCCGUGUUGCUGGUGGCGCUGGUGGCCGCUGCUUCAGGCGUGUGUAGGAAUCCUCACCUUAAACUGAAGCAUAGGGGCACCUGUGAGGACGGCCCAGGGACCCAGUGGUGAGAAGGUGUCGAUGAAGACUGAACCUUGACUGAAAGGCCAUCAGUCAACACACAGACAGUCACUACUGCUCCUGAUCCACCUGACUGAAGCCUCUCACUUCACUCUUAUUGUGUGCUUCACCUGUCACUCAGUAAAUACCAAUUAACUAACA